This 1097-nucleotide long non-coding RNA is filed under the name Ovis aries (sheep). RNAcentral's name for it is "lncRNA (ENSOARG00000025872.1)". The record is from RNAcentral. Lineage: Eukaryota; Metazoa; Chordata; Mammalia; Artiodactyla; Bovidae.
AUGAGGGAGUCCUGCUUUCAAGAUGGAGCCUGUUCUGUCCGUUUCCUCCUUCACCAGCACCCCUGUAAGCACGGGUCCCCAUUUCCAGGACAUUUCAGUGUUGCUGCCGAUACCUUCAGGAGCAGCUCACAGUGCAGCCACAGAGGGUAUCUGGGCGCAGGCUGCAACUCAUGCAAGCUCAUGCUUCCGCGACCAUCUCUGCAGGGAAAAUGCACAGCAGUGGCAGGGGGAGUCUCCCAGAGGCUCAGCAAACCUAGGAAAGUUUGGGAGCCACAAUCAGCUUCUUGCAGAUCUGUUAGGUCAAAGAAAAAAGCCCUCCAGGUGCUUUUCAUUUUGCAUUUCUCUAAGGAGGGAAAUUUGCAUAUCCUUUGCAGGAAUCUUCUCCAGUGGUUUCCUUAUUGGUAUUUCCUUAUUGGUAUUGGUGGUUUCCUGGUCGGUGUUUCUUAUUUAUCUGUAGGAACUCUUUAUUGUUAGUAAUCUCAGGAAGCUCUCCUUGUGAUGCAAGUCCAAGAGUCCUCCAGUUUGAGGCUUCCUUUUUUGAGUUUGUUGCAGUUUUGCGCUUAGCUGAAUUUCUCAGUCUUGCCUUUAGUCUCCUGGGUCAUAUUUAGAAAAUUCUUCGCUUCCCCUAAACGCUAAAAGUUUCCUUAAGUUCUCUGGAGUCCCUUCACCGUUUCCUCUUCAUGCUGAAAUCUUUAAUCUGUCGGAACAGACCCCGGGGUCAAGGGCGAGGAGUGACUCGCACCACCGACGCGAAUCGCCACCUUCACAGUGUACAAAAUAUGUGUAGGAGCCUCUUCAUCUUUCCAUGAAAGUGUUUUUCACCCACACUCCUAGCGCCUUUGUGGUGUGGCGCGCCGGGAGGCCCGCCGGGGAGUCCAGAUCCGGGAGGCGGGAGCGGCCGCCGGCGGGCCGGUCCUCCGCCCGACCAGUCACGCAGCGACCCGGGUGCCCCCAGACACAUGUGGGGCGCUCUGCGGCCGCCCCGAAUCUCCUGCGCAUUCCAAGCCACGCAGCACCAUUUCUGCCUCAGAACCAAGACCCCCGCGGUCCUCUAGGUCCGGGGCCACCUUCUGCCCCUACUCCGCCCCCCGUGUCCC